GCGUGGCGCCCGUAGUCACCCCCGCCGUACCCGGCCGGCGCGGGCGCGUGGCGCCCGUAGUCGUCCUCGCGCCCCCCACCGUAGGCCGGGGCGCGGCCGCCGUAGUCGUCCUCGCGCCCCCCACCGUAGGCCGGGGCGCGGCCGCCGUAGUCGUCCUCGCGCCCCCCACCGUAGGCCGGGGCGCGGCCGCCGUAGUCGUCCUCGCGGCCGCCACCGUAGGCGGGGGGCGGGGCGCCGUAGGCGACGUCGUCGGGGCGGCGGCCGUAGGACGGGGGAGGGGCGCCGUAGGGGUCGGGCUCUUGGCGGCCGUAGGGGGCGGGGGGGCGGCGGUCGUCGUCGUCGUCGUCGCGGCGGCCGUGGCCGUGGCCGUGGCGGUGAGGGAACUCCAUGAUUGAUUGGCCUGUCGGUGGUGGUGGUCGGGACUCGGGAAAUGGGAACGCGGGGGGGUGGUGGAGGUGGAUCCGAUCCGAGCCUAAAUAUGUCGCGUCGCCGGAGUACAUGUCGACGGGCGGGUGAGGUGAGCGCGCGACGUGGCGCCAAUGGGACGCGCUCGCACGACCGACCGACCGACCGGCCGGGCCGAUUCAAUUUCGCAACUGGGCGAUGGCGAUCGGUGGAUCGCCACGUGCACAGCUUUGCACUACACACGUCGCGGAUGGUGGAAAAAUCGUGGUCGUAUCUCAUCCGUUGUUUCUUUUCCUUCGGAUGCCGCGGGAGAUCGGAUCGUAUCAAGCCAAACCAGUCAAGUACCAGCUCAACAAAAAUCAACCGAGCACUCAAUUAUUGCUUGAAUUUCAAGAAGAAAAAAAGGGAAAAGGAGAAUUCGAUGUGGUGUGUACGCUGUGGCCCAAUGGUGCAGCUGCGAGUUCUGAUUUCUUGUUUGAUUGGGGUUGCAUGCGCGGAGGCAGCGGGCGCCAGACGGCGAAUCCUAUUUGACGCUGCAAGCGUCGGUUAAAGUGUAUUUUUCUUAACUGACGCCUGCAGUUUUCGGUCAUGGCCGACCCUUCGGGAGGCGGUUUUUCCGUCUUUGUGAAGGUUCCGCAAGCUUUCUAGAUGGAUUUUCUUAUUUAUGUUUUUUAGGACUGGUUCUUCUUUGGUUUAUCUUUUUUUCUUUAUUAUUUUUAUUACUUUUUCAUUUUCGUUUUAAUAUUUAUAUAAUUUUUACUUUUUGAAAAACGCAGCCAUUUCUUGAUUAACUUUUUCUCAAACGAACAAAUAUUUUUUCAGAUCAAUGAACCUUUUUCAGAAUUAUAUGUUCUUUUAUUAAAAUUCUAUGAACAUUUGUGAAUAUCGAUGAACUUUUUUCAAAUUAUGAUGAACGUUUUUCUGAUUGAUGAACUUUUUGAAAUGGAUGAACCUUUUUAAGAAUUGUGAAAAAAAAUUCAGUUCAACAAUUUUUUUAAAAAAAAAUCAAAUUCAUGAACUAAUUUUCAAAAUCCGUUAACUUUUUAAAAAUGUGAGAAGUUUUUUUUCAGAUCACAAUGAAUUUUUUCAAAUUCGUUAACUUUUUGUUUCAAAAUUGGUGAACCAUUUUUCGCUUUUAUGAACCUUUUAUGUUCUUUUUUUUUUGGUUUUUAUUAUAAAAAACCCACCUUGAGCCUGGGCCGGCCCGUUAUGCACGGUGUGUGGGCGCUAGUUCUCCUAGCUGGCGCUUAAGGCGCCGCCUCGCCGCUAUGAGCUCCCGGGCCAUACCCCCCCCCCCCACCCAAGGAACUAGUAGUAAUAUAUUGGCUUAAUUAUACGAUGGACUUAAUCCACUUGUUGACUCGUACCUGCUAAUCGAUCCACACGAUCAACGAUACGCACACACUAAUCCAAUUUGAUGUUAUCGACUCUUUCCUCGGCGACGCACCAGUCGCUAGGGUUUCAUUGACGCCGCCGUGCUGGUCGCCGGUUGUCGCGUCGGGCCGCCACCGCCGACCCGCUGUGCUCCGCCCGUCAUCGACCGUGCUGCCGCCGACCAUGCAUCAAUCGAGUACAGAGAGUCCACACAGGCUAAGAAGUUGAACGGCGCUGCCGCAAGCCCACACACAAUCCCUAACCGAUGCUGUGCAGCUGUGUUGUGAUCAGAAGACGAGGUCUUGAUGUAAUGUAAGGUGUACAAUUGUCUAGUGUCUACAGACCAGGUUUCAUAUUAUUGUGGUUGUCACUUGUUGGUUUGAUUCAUUCAAUAGAUCAAUUAAUCAAUUGUUAGUACUUAGUAGUUAGUAAUAAUUUAUUUUGAUACUUGUGAGAUCAAUUACAUAUUUUCUUUUUACUUAAUGGAAGAACUGAAAACUGCAUAGGUCAUGAAUAAGAGGAAGACAUCACCGAUAAGUAAUGGUUUCAACCAAUUGCUACAAACUCUAACUCUGCGAUUGAAAAUGCAAAUGCAAGUGUCAAGGUAGAUGUCACACAGCAACCCACUGGUCAUAAUGUCCCCAAUCUCAGUUCAGUUGAUAUGCCACCCCCCGAGCAAAAUAUUCAGGUAUCUGUGGAAGUUCUAGAACAGCAAAGAAUUGGAAGCACACCAUUUGAGCGAGACCCUGGAAAGCGCAAAUAAAUUUGGGAACUCCCUCUUGAGAAGCAAAAUGAAGCACCUUGAUCGUAAAUCUCUCGAAAACUCGUCACUAUAGCUUAUCUGUGGUGGCACCAAUACUGUUAGAGAUUGGAGAGCUAGUUUCCUCUUUUUCUUCCUUUUACAUUUAACAUGUAAAUCCGUCAUCCAACGUACCGGGCCAUCUUUGUGCAAAGUUUGCUUGCACACUGACGGUCAUCGAAAGUUGGAUGGAUUUGAGACCCUCUUUCCUGCUCAUCAGCUUAUUGAUUGAUGAUGCCAGGAGGCAGGAGCUCUUUUGUUGAAUAAAGCUCUCUGACUGGAACACAAAAAAAGACACAACCAUUCAAAAAUGAUUGUGACAUUUACAAAAGUAUUCACGCUCUUCAAACAUAUGUUCACAACAUUUUCAGGAAAUGUCUAUACAACAGUAAAGAAAGUUAUGUAACUUCAAAUAAAUUGUACUACCAUUAAAAAAACUUUGUGUCAUCAUAAAAAAGGUUCACACGUUUCAAAAACAUGUUCGUAUUGUUUUUCUACAUAUGUUCGUACCAUUCAAAAAAUGUUUGUGACAUUGAGAAAAAUGUGCAUGUGUUUCGGAAAAAAUGUUGUUGAUUUUUUUAUACAAAUGUAAAAAAAAGUUUGCUUAGUUUAGAAGAAAAAAUAUUAUACCAUAAAAAAUAUGAUCAAAUAUGUAUUCCAAAAAAGUUGGACACGUAUUCAAAAAAAAUGUUCAAAGCAUUUAAAAAAAAACUAAUGUGUAUCAAAAAUAGUUGCUGAUGUACACAAAAAUGUACAACAUAUAUGAAAAAAUAGACAUGUAUUGAGAAAAUGGGGAAAUAUUAAACGUAUACGAAAUAGACAUCUAUUGUGGCAGUUCAAGACAAUAAUCGUAGUCGUCAAAAGGUUCUUCCUUUGCGACAGCAAGAACAACUUGGUGGGUAAUUUGUCAAUUCUUAAAGCCAUUCAUUCACCAUCACUUGAUUAAUUUGUAACUCAGCUAAUUAGCCACUAGCUACGACUAACAUCACUUGCAUAGCUUGUGGGGCAUCACUUUGCUUUCAGCACAAGAAAGUACUUAUAGUUAAUAAGUUAUUUGAGCUAAGUAGCAAUCCAAUGUGCGACGUGGAGUUUCUCAGCCCGCGCUCAACUGAGCUCGAAUGAACAGUAAAAGUAAAGUGAGAAAAACUGCGGCAAACCUAUUUAGCGUGACAGGCAUUGCUUAAAGGAAAAAGUUGCUAACCGGCGCCUGCAGGGCUCCGUAAUGGGCGGGCCCAUGUUGAGAUCCUUCAUGAACUUUUUUUAGCCUGUGAAAUGUUUUAGCCCGUGAUCUUUUUUUGAAAUCGGUAAACUUUUUUGAAAAUCAAUGAUAUUUUUUGGAAAUUCAUGAACAUUUCUGAAAAUCAAUGAACAUAAUUUAAAAUUCAUGAUUUUUUUCAAAAUCAGUGAAAUAUUUUUAAAAAUUGAUGAACUUUUUCAAAAUCAGUGAACUGUUCUUAAAAAUUGAUGAACUUUUUUCAAAAUCAAUGAUUGUUUUUUCGAAUCUUUAAACUUUUUGAAAAUCCAUGAAAAUAUUUUUCAAAAAUAGGUGAACAUUUUCAUAAUAAUUGAACUUUUUUGAAAAUCUGAACUUUUUAAAAUUCUGUGAACUUUUCUCAAAUUUUUAGUGACCAAGACAUUUUUUACAUGGGAGGAGUGCUUCAGGCGCCGGUUUCCCUAACUGGCGCUGAAGGCGCCAAAUACGAGGGGACUUCCUAUACCGUACCUUCAGCGUCCUCUAAGCCAAUUGGCGCUCGAUGUACCUUCCUAUACCGUCCUAUUUAAACUUUUUAAAAAUCCAUGAACAUAUUUUUCAAAAAUAGGUGAACUUUUUUCAUAAUAAUUGAACUUUUUUGAAAAUCUGAACUUUCUAAAAUUCUGUGAACUUUUCUCAAAUUUUUAAUGACCAAGACAUUUUUUACAUGGGAGGAGUGCUGCAGGCGCCGGUUUCCCUAACUGGCGCUGAAGGCGCCAAAUAGGAGGGGACUUCCUAUACCGUACCUUCAGCGUCCUCUAAGCCAAUUGGCGCUCGAUGUACCUUCCUAUACCGUCCUCUUUAAACUUUUUGAAAAUCCAUGAAUAUAUUUUUCAAAAAUAGGUGAACUUUUUUCAUAAUAAUUGAACUUUUUUGAAAAUCUGAACUUUCUUAAAUUCUGUGAACUUUUCUCAAAUUUUUAAUGACCAAGACAUUUUUUACAUUGGCUGGCCCAUGAGGAGGAGUGUUGCACGCGCCGGUUUCCCUAACUGGCGCUGAAGGCGCCAAAUAGGAGGGGACUUCCUAUACCAUACCUUCAGCGUCCUCUAAGCCAAUUGGCGCUCGCUGUAUCGAAUUCAUGGGCCGACCAACGACGCGCAACACAAGCGCAAAAGUCCUAAAAAAUGAUGGGGAUUGAUCUGCGACGGCGCGCUGGCCCAAACUUUUGGCCGGCCGCGCGCGAGCGGCAGGAUCCACCAACCCCGCGUCGUCCGCACCAUUGGAUCCGCAUGCAACAUUUUUUUUUCCUAUGCAGCAAAAUUUCGAUUCGAUGCGAUGCAGCAAUUUUUUUAACGGUUGCAACAAAAAACAAAAAUUGUGCCAAAAAAAUAUUUACGUGAUCGUAGCAAAAAAAUAAAGCUGAUGGUACGUGGUAGCAAAAGUCAAACGCCGAUUGUAACAAAUAUUUAUGUGACGUGUAUGCAACUUUUUUAGUGAACAGUUGCAGCAAACAUGAUGCCGGUUGUAGCAAAAAUUAACACGGUUGUAGCAAAAAGUAAAAAACAUCGAUUGUAACGAAAAAUCCAACGAACUGGUGUUGCAACCAAACGUAUAUGCAGCUUUUUUACUGAAACAAAAAAUAGUAAAAAAACGCUUGCAGCAAAAAUGACGCUGGUUGCAACAUAUUUAGACGAAAAAUGUUGCAUCCAUUGACCAGAAAAGCGCGCGGGUGGAAAAAAUGUUGCAAGGACCCGCGCGCGCGAGGGGAUGACCGGCGCGCGGGUGGGAAACGAUUCCCAAGAAUGAUUGGGGCUUUGACUCGAACUCAGGUCCUCUCAUUCCUACAUCUUCUCUGCUAACCACUAGUCCUAGAAGCUAAUAGUAAUCAACUGAACCUCAAAAAUAUUUAAGAAUACUCUAGCCACGUAGUUCCAAAAUCUGAAAGUUCACAUAUUUUUAAAAAGUUCACGAUUGUUUUCUUAAAAAAGCCUCACGUAUUCGAAAAACAAAAUCACGAAAUUGAAAAUUCAUUAAUUUGAGAAUAAAAUUUCACAAAUUUUCAAAAAAAUCUCUAAUUUAAGAAAAGUUUGUAAGUUUGAAAAACGUUAACAGAUUUGAAAAUGUUCACAAGAUCCACAUAAGUUCACCAAAUUGUUAAAAAAAUUCAAGAAUCUUUAAAAAGUUCCAUCAAAUUCGAAAAAAGUUCAUCAAUUUUGAAAAAAGUUCAACGGAUUUCAAAACAAGUUCAUUGAUAUUUUUUUUUUAAGUUCAUCGAAUCUGCAACAGUUUUAUCAAUUUAAAAAAAGUUCAGUGUAUUUUCAAAAAAGUUUAUCAUUUUUUAUAAAUAUUUUGAACAAAAACUUGGAAAAGGUUCAUUGGAUUCGAAAAAGGUUCACCGAAUUUUGAAAAUUUCAUCAAGUUUAAAAAUAGUUCACCAUUUCGUAAAAAGUUCACAAAUUCAAAGGAAAAAAAUCAUCAAUGUUGGAAAAAGUUCAUUGGUUUUUCUAAAAAAAGUUCAUUGUAUUUGAAAAAGUUUGUCAAAUUUGAAAGAAGUUCACUGAACUAGGAAAGAGUUCAUCAAAUUUUAAAAAUUGUGGAUGGAUUAAAAAAUAAACGACUAAGAAAGAAGGAAAAUUAAAAAGAAAAUAAAAACAAAAACAGAAAACAGAUAAAAGGAAAAAUGAAAAAAGAAGAAACAAUGAUAAGGUAAAAAUGACGUAUGUUGACACAUCAAGGAAUGUGGUUACCACUCUUCGCACCGAGCUAGGAGAUCCUGGGUUCGAAUCCUACUCCUUUCCAAUAUUUGAAUGAACAGACAGACGUAAAUGGGCUAACCGGCGCCUGCAGCAUUAAAUAGGAAAUGCCGAAAUGACGAAUAGGAGGUCCCAAAAAACUGUGUGUGCCUGUGCUAGAUUGGGUCAGGCGCAUGUCUGCCUCGCGCACUAGGCUUGGCCCAUCAUCGGUGUGCUUGAGACGAGGAAGUCUUAAGCGAGACAUAGAGGCUCUCACGAAGUAUAGCAUUGUGGACUGGAGUAGAAUAUAGUUCUUUUAAGCUAAGCCUAACCCCCUUUAUGGCCCAAUACAUAUAUAAACACUACACACUCUGUGCCGGCCUACAUGCACUGACCCGAACUUGUACUCGAUCUGGUCAUGGCCCACAAAAUUGGAUCAUUCUACGUUCGAUUCUCCUUUUCUGCUGAAAAAAAUGCAAGACAAUAGAGCAUUUUUUAGGAAGCAAUACCACUAUAUAUGUUGUCAUUGCAACAAUCUAUUAUAUUAAGAGCAUCUACACCCGGACCCCUCAUACAUGUCUCAAACGCCUCGACAGGCCGUCCGACCAGUGAUCGGUCACAAAAACGCGACCCAACCGAACCUCUUAAAUCCGUCUCAAACGCCCGAGCUGACCGGCACUGCUCAUAUCCGGCCCAAAUAUAGGGCUGAUAUGGGGCGGUCCGGUCACACCGGGUGUGUCUGCCCGGUAAGCCCGGUCCAACACUGACCCCACCGUUGUCCCACAAAAUCCCCACUUUGGCCGCCUCGUUCCGAACUCUAGCUCACUCUCUCUCGCUCUGUCCCCUCCUCCCCCUCUUCGAGUAUGAUCCCAUCGUGUCCAAUGUCGAUCUCCGACAGCCGCUCCGGCUCCGACGGUCGCUCCGGCUCCAACGGCUCGGACAUCGACCCCGAGGAGUUGGCCCUCCGCAUCGCCUUGGAGCGCGGUCCAAGGUGGAGACGGCCGGAAGCUCCGGAUCUAGCGCUUAGCCACUGGUCCCGCGUCGACGGAUCUAUGACAUCGAAGCGGGACCCUCCCGGCACGCGAGCAGCUCCGUCGGGACUGCGUCCGCACCUGCCCUGCGUGCUGCCCUUUCCCCGCCGGCCGCUCCUCCACGCGGGCAUCAUUGGGUCCUAGUACCCGCACCAUUGGCCUGCACGGGCACUCCGGAAUCGGAGGCGCGCACCGCCCACCGUGAGAGGCAGCGGGCAAGGGAGAGGGAAACAAAGCAGUCUGUGCGCCACCGUCGCGAGAUGCCGGCUGAGCCCGACAAGGACGAACGCCUCCUCGCAUGGGUGUACCUCGGGUCCCUCACGACGGCAGAGACGAGUGUUCGACACCUUCGUCAGAAGAACGCCAAGGCGUUUCAGCUUGCUAUUGAGCAGUCGGAGCGCGAAGCGAAGGAGCUAGCGGAGGAGAAGGCUCGACUCGCCAAGAUGAAGCGGGAGCAGUACAGGGCCGUCCGUCGGAUGAAUGGCCUCAUCGUCUUCUUGGACUCGGACUCUGACGACGGCAACAACGACACCUCGCCCUUUGACCCUCCGCCAGCCACGAACGGCUACAACUGCGUCGACGACCCACAGGGCAAAGGGCCAGCAAGGAAGUGGUGAUCUGCCCCCCCCCCUCUACGCAUUAUUUAUAUACUCCCUCCGUCCCAAAAUUCUUGUCUUAUUGUCUAAAAAUGGAUGUAUCUAAGUACUAAAACAUAACUAGAUGCAUUCAUAUCUAUACAAAUGUAAGACAAGAAUUUUGGGACGGAGGGAGUAGUUUUUAGUUGUAGUAACGUAAGAAAUUUGUCCGAUGAACUUGAGAUGAUCUUGUGGCUGAUGUUUGAUGUCCGUUUGAAGUUGAUUUUGUGUUUGUGCGUUUUUGAUUUUGUUGUCCUAUGUUUUUUCACGUACAAUAGCUCAACGUUGCGUGGGUAGUACGGAUAUGGGUGUCGGAUAUAAGACAAGCGGAUGUGAAAAGGAAAAUAUGAAACGCGUCUGGCCAGUGUACGAGACGCGACCGUUUGAGGGGUUAGAUUUGCAAGUUACGACUAUAGAUGCUCUAAAUACUAUCUUUCCUGGUUAAAAAGACACUUAAGGCCCCUCCCCACUUCACCUAUGUCUUCGGUUUUGCCGAUUCUUCUCAUUGAUUUUUCUUAAAAGACACCUCAACUGUCUCAUGUAUUUUUAUAGCUUAGCAAAUAAAAUUAUGUUUUCGUUGGUAUGUCUAUAGGUGCUAGUUUAAUUGACAGUCGAUAUAUUAGCAGUUAUGGCGAAGCCACAAGUUCAAAGUUAUGAUCUCAAUUCAUAAUUGUGACCAAAUACGUGUGUUUAUAUGAUUUUUUUUCUUUCUUGAUUUCUACUUAUAUGUGUUGCUUUUGCACAAAUACUGUAUAGUCAACUGACUACACAGAACACAUGUGGAGUCGUCAUUGUGUAAUCACACUUACACACUAUCAAUAAAAUGACGGGUAAAUCAUGAUGAGUGCGUGCAAAAUAUUUAUGCCUCGUUGCAACACCAACCAUUAUCUAAUAGUAGUAGUUAAGAAACAAUAUCCCUGGUCCUCAAAAGGUUCUCCCUUUGCGGCAGCAAGCACAACUUGGUCAGUAACUUGUCAACUCUCAGAGCCAUUCAUGCAUCAUCACCUGAUUAAUUAUUAUUUUUAACGCAAUCACCUGAUUAAUUAAUAACUGGUGAGGGUAUAUCCGUACACAUGCAGCUCAGCUAAUUAGCCACUAGCUGCGGUUGACAUCACUUGCAUAGCUUGUGGGGCAUCACUUUGCUUUCAGCACAAGGAAGUGGUUAAUUAAUCACUUAUUUGAGCUAAGUACCAAUCCAACGUGUGCUUUUGCUUCGUCUUAGGAAGCAGGUUAUGGAGCUGUCUCGUUGAUACCUAGCUACUUGGCACUUGCAGUGGUCAAACACUUGGUAGAAAACAUUUUUUAAUUUUGAGCGUGUUCAUUCUGAUGGAUCGAGAUAGCUUGACCCCUUCAAGUUAUAUGUAAUAAUGCACAUCGAUUGUACAAGCAAAAGGCCGAUUUAAUAUACUCAUGGCAUUAUAUUACUCCGUUGCAUUACGUGAGAGAAUUCUCAAUGAUGAGUGCCAUGCAUGCACAAGGUGAAAAAACAACAAAAACAAUGAAGCGUGCAUGGUUGAUCAAGGUAUCAGUUUACCAUCCCAUUGUUUUUUUUAUCUACCGGUGGUCUACGAAUUCAUAUGUGCUAGUAUUCAGUUGGUAUAACCAUAAUCAGCGAAAAAUUCGAUGGGGCAUCAUGUAUCCGCAGCUUAGUUAUACGCAUACAUACGUAAAAUAUUCAACCCAUGCUACAAAAAAUACUUUUAUCCAUGUGGCAAUCUUGCAUUGCUCCAUAUAUAAUUUCUCAAAUAAAUUGCUAAGAUAUAUUUAAUUAUUAGAUACACGCAUGCCUAUAUGGUUGUUUAAUUACCUUUCACAACAUUUAGUUACUUUUUGUCAAUAACAUUUAACAAAUGUACAACUUGUACUAGUAAGUACGUACAACAAACAAAAUGUAGAUAUAUUGUUACCGCGACGCAUCGCUCAUAGGAGUGGACACGAAAUAGAUAGUGAUAUUGGGCAUUGCUAUUUUCUCCUUAUUGAAUUAAUAUCACAAUUGAUUCGUGUGUACAAAAUAUGAGCAUGACGCCGAGCAGUUGAGUGGCCCCAAUGUGAAUUUAUUUCUAACACCACCUACACCCCAAAUCUAAUGUUGUUAUUCAUGACCAAGUAAUCUUAUUAUUUAUGUGCCUCGUGAGUUUGCUCUUCAUAUUCGGGUUUGCAUUUGUGCAAAUGUGAGCUUCAUUAUCUUCAUGUAUGUAGAUCCGGGUUCCCUCUGCUAUGAUACCAAUUGUAGGAAACCUACUAUGUGAUGGCUUUGAUACCCAUAAUACUUGAGAACCUUCACACUCUCAAAUAAUGGGGAUAACUCGAUCUUUUAUUCACAACCACUAAUAGAAAAACUACUUUACGUGAGAUACAUUAGUCCCUGUUUGUAAACGGACGGGCACUAAUGUGACCAUUAGUGCCGGUUUAAACGGCUAGGGAGGCGCGCAUCAUUAGUCAUGAUUCGUGUUGAACCUCUAGUACCGGUUCGUGACACGAACCGGGACUAAUGGAGUGGUGACAGGCUGGUGUCUGCCUGCUUCAACUCAUGAUACUUGGUACAAACUUUAUUGGUGUCUACCUGCCAUUCUCAUUCAUAGCGGGUCCUACUACUACCUUGGUUCUCUUUCUACCUUGCUUAGUUUGGUUUAUCUUAGGAGGGGAGUCCAUCCCUAUCUAGAGUUGCACAUGACCAUUAGAUUGAUGGCAGGUGGCAACCAUCCAAAACCAAUGCAGUCAUUGCUCUCUGAAUAACCUAGAAAACACCCUACAAAUAUCUUAUAUCUAGUGUUCUCUUUAAUUUGCCACAUAAUUUAUUCAAACAUUUGUUCUAGAACCACCGAGAGAAAUAACAACUCAUGUGUAUUAAUAUCCAAAUGAUCUAGAAGUUUCUUAUCUUUGAGAUGAAUAACUUCUCUAGUAUCCUCCAUGGCAAAUAUCUUGACGUUCUCGAUUCUUAGAAAUAUCUUCAGUGACCCAAGUAUGCAUUGCAUAUUAUCAACAAUAGGAAAUCGAUAGAGUAUCUCAAGAAUGUAAACAACUAUCGGCUAUGGCAUGUCACCGUAUGAGGCCAAAUGGUGUGCAUAUGUCAACAUAGGGAGGAUAUCUAGUGGCCAAGCACUCCCGGUGCUGCCAAUGCACAAAAUCACCAUUCUAUUACUUUCUUUUUUCUUAAAAUGUUAAGUGAGUCAAUAAGAUAUGUUUGUACAAUGUGUGAAAUUUUGAAAUCAAUUCAACCUACAUAUGAUGGAGAAGCAAAAAUAAAUAAAUAAAUAAAUAGAAAUUCAGCCAUGAUGGUGUUUGUAUUUUGAUUUUUUAUAAUAUUCAUAGUUGGAUUUAUCUUUUUCGAGUAAGAUGUUUUUAUCCUCUAUCUACAUACUCCCCCUGUUCCAAAAUAAUUGUCUUAAUCUUGUACUAAUCUUAGUAUAAAAUUAUACUAAUUUUGAGAUACUUAUUUUGUGACGGAGGAAGUGGAAUUUUGUGGUGCCGACCUCUUAGGUGGGACACACACAUGCUUCCAUCGAUGUCCAUGCAUAGGAUGAUGGGAAUAUCAGCAUCUGUCAUUUUUUUUCUAACUGUUUUUACUUCUUCCUUUUUCCAACUAGCUUAGCCUAUCAAUUGCUUGUUCGUGUACAUACUUGUGUGUCUCUCUCGAUAAACUUGUCGUUCCUUGGGUGCGAUGACUUCGCAAGGAAUCCAACCUUUCUACCAGUAAAAAAAAAAAAGACAAGCCAUUGCUCUCCUCUUUAUUUUAAAGUACAUGCACUUCAAUUAUGCACGUCUCUUCCCCCUAACACGAGCAUGCAUUAUAAGUUGCUACUAUUCUAUAAGCUCCAAUUGAUUCAUCCAAAGUCCAAGAUUUGGUUACAAUAAAUAAGGAAAGUAAUUUUAAACUAAUACGAAUUUUAUUCAAUGAAUGUUCACAAUUUACAUCCUAGUUCACCCUACAUAUACAUACAUAUACACACAAGUUAAACAUGCAUCUACAAUCAGUUCUACCUAUCUUGUGACAUAAUUGUGUUCUUCUUCUACUCCGGCCUAUAAUAUCUUACACUAAUCAAUUAACUUUACACAAUAUACGGUACUAAUUUAGCCUGAUCUACAAAUUAUGCAUGAGUAAUAUCCCCCUCGAUCCAUUGAUCGACCGGCAUCAAUAGUGAAUAAUUGAUUAAUAUGUCUGCAGUCAAAUCGCUAGCUAGCUUUCUCCUAGCCCUAAUUAUCAAGGUAGCAUGCAUGGAUCAUAUCCUGUCCUGCUGGGAAGGCUGGUCUGGCCCAAAUAUGGAGAAGCCGCCGUUCAUCAUCGUCAUGGACCCAUCGCUACCCAACCACCUCUUGGAAGCGUGCAACGACGACAUUUCACCAUCGUUAUUGCUGUCCGCCGUCGCCUGCCUCUUCCGCGCCGUGCUGGCCUCGCCGUCGCUGGCCCCAGCAGUGGUGCCGAGGAAGAACUGGCCGACGGAGGUUGCAAUCUCCGGCUGUGGCGGCGGCAUGCUGUCGAAGAGCUCCGAGACGGCUGAGUAGUCCACGAGGUAGUCGGAGAUGGACGGGUUCCUCGGCAGCAUCCGGGAGGAGGAGGAGGUGUCCUCUUGCUGCUGAUGUUGCUGCUGCUGCUGCUGCUGCUGGUGGUGGUGGUGGCCGUGGCCGAGGCCGAGGGUGGCGUCCAUGGACGACGGCGACGGCGACGGCUCGUAGAAGGGCGACAGCUGCUGCGGGUUGGGCUUCUUGUAGAUCCUGCACAGCACCCAAUCAUCCAGCUGCACGCACACAAGAAGGUGAAUCAGUGCCACACACGUGUGUGCAUGUAUGUUGCAACAAACGGUCGCUUGCUAAGCUUGACAGGUAGUUGGUGCUGGUUAGCUAGUAGGUUGUGGCUUGUAAGGUAAUAGUGCAAGUCUCUUUCUUAGGGAAGGAAGAUCCCAGCGGUGAAAGAAACUAUAGCUAAUAGGACGGACAGUGGCUUCCUAGCUCAUUGACCAGGUUAGUUGCUUGCUCGAGCUCAACUCACUGACAUCCACGCACACGCAACUAAUAAGAAGAGAACAAAAGAUUCCUAGCUAGCUCCAACGAGAUGCCUUCCUCGUUAAUUUGCAGCCGCAGAAAACAUGCAUAUGCAUGUGUGAUCAAUCAAGAAGAAAUAAUAAAGCAUGAAAUUACCGAGUACAACAAGAUGAUGGAGAGAGCCAUCGCAAAAAAAGAAAAAAAGAAAGAUGAUGGAGAAAGAGUUGUGCAUGCAUGCGUACCCUCAUGGAGGACGAGGCCUUGAACCGCGUGGGGGGCCGGUAUGUGUGCGCGGCGGCGGCGGCGGCGGCGUGGGCGUCGGCGAGGCGGUACUCGUGCAUGAUCCAGUUCGUCUUGUGCCCCUUGGGCGGACGGCCCUGGUAGAACACGAGCGCCUUCUUGACGCCGACCAUCUCGCCGCCGGGCACGCCGCCGGCCGUGAUGGGCUUGUCGGUGCCGGUGGCCUUCCAGUAGCCCGACCCGGCGGCGCGGUUGGGGCGGACGCCGUUGGGGUACUUGCGGUCGCGGGGGCUGAAGAAGUACCACUCGUCGUUGUCGCCCUCGAACACCGCGCGGGACGGCAGCUCCCACGGGUCCAGCUUGUAGAUGUCCACCUCCGCGAUGACGGCCGCCGGGCACGGCGCCGCGGCCGCGCGCCUGCGGAGGUAGUGCACGAUCAGCUCCUCGUCCGUCGGGUAGAACCGGAACCCCGGCGGCAGCCCCGUGCCCGCCGGCGCCGGGAGCGACGUCGGCCUCGUCUGCAGCUCGAUCGUCAUCACACACACCCGAUCGAACGCUCGGUCAGGGGCUCAAGGCGGCGAGGGAAGGGAAGGGAAGGUGGGUCGAGAGUCGAGACGGAGGAGAACUGAAAUUUUCGGAGGUGGAGGCGACGGGUGCGGUUAUAAAGGCGCCGAGGUGCUCCGGCGCAUGGCAGGCUCUUGUAAUUCUUGGCCGCCGGUGACGAGAGGGAUGAUGAUUGCAAGGGCCCUGCCGUACGUGCGCGUCCAUCCAUAUCACGUCAUCGGCGCUCGCAGGCUCACGUACUUGGCCAGAAUCUUCAAUUUGUUGGAAUAUUUUCUCUCUUUUUUGUGCCAUGUGAGAACGAGAGAGUGGGGGAAAAUAUAUCCGAAAAAGACAUUAGCAGAAUGAAUGGAUGAAAAUUGUGCAAAUGAUUGGAGAAGUUGGAUAUUCGGCUCGGUUUGUAGGACCGGGAAGCGUUCAUGGCCCAGAGGAAUACCAUAGCACAUGAAUACCAGGUACGGUGUUUUUGUGUGUGUUUUCAUUGACCACGCAGGAAUAGCUACUCCUAUGCAUGCAUGCACUGAUGCACAUGCAUGGUGCCAUUUGCUGCUGGCUGAGACAUUUCAAAGAAAAUUAGUAUUAUUCAUUGCUGAAAUGCAAAGCUCGGAAAAUCAUUGGAGUUGUCAUAGACUACAAACUACAAGUUGAUUGAAUUCAGAUCAAGAUUUUUGUAGGCCCGGGAUUAUCCGAUCUUCAUUUAAUUCUGUUCAUUGCUAAAACGGAGGGACUUAGGAGUAUGCAUGCACAUGCAUUAGAGUCAUCUGCUGCUUAGCUGCUAGCCGAGACAUACAAAAUUAUAUUCCCUGCUGGUAUGCAAAACCAUUGGAGCUGUCUAGACUACUAAUUGAUUGAAGUUGCUUAAAUAUCUCCAUCAAACUCUAAGCAUUCAGAUCAAGAUUUAAUCAUUUUCAUAAAGCGCACGAAGGUUCUACUUGCACAGUUGAAGAGUGAAAUUUAAGAACUGGUAGUGCGCAAUUUGUAGUAACUGAAUCCAAAAGGAAAGGUACCUACGGGCGAGUUCCACUUCAUAAAAGGGGCGGUUUUGGACAAGAUUGACGACUAGUUUAUAUAGCUAUAUAUGUGUAACAAAUUAACAACCAAUAGAACUAUAAUAUUGAUGAAAAUACUCCUUGAUACUAAUCUAACCAUAUGAUUCAUGUUUCAUAUCCAAAUAUAAAAAAAUGAUAUCCAUAGUAAAUCAUUUCAUCGUUUGACAUACAACAUGUAUGUAUUCGUGGCAGUAAGAAUUAGCAAACUAAGAAUCAUUGAAAUUAAUGAAAUCAUUAAAUCACUACAAAUUGCUACCGCCCGAUUGCUAAUUAGAGUACAAACAACAUUAUAGAUCCAAAUAUCCCGCAAAAAAAAGCAUUAUAGAUCCAAAAUAAUGAAACCUCAACUUCAUCAGAGCAUCUCAAUUAACUAGUGUGUUAUGUUGUCAGAAAUUAUAUAUAUUCAUAUCAUCGACUGUAUACAACCACUCCAACAGAGUGUUUCUAAGUUAAUUUGCUCUCUAUUUUGACAUUGGAUCUUAUGCAUGUCUCUGUUACAUUAUUAUAAACCAUACGUUGCCGAUUUUAUGAGCAAUAACCUACCCCGCGGCGGGGAUGGAGGGUGUGUGGUGAUAGACAAACACGGCUAUUGAGUGGUAACAAAAACCCUACUCAUUAUACGACUAAUACAGUAGAUACAGUAGAAGAUCUAAGUUCCAGUAGAUGGUGAGAGAAUCAAAGCUUGCUCUAUUUCCACCUUGGAGCUUGUGCAUAGCAUUAUGGUUCAUCUAAAUACAAGCUUCAUAUAUAUCCUUAUAUUAUUUAGUUUAAUUAUGUGAUGUCACAUAAAUUUUACAUGACAAAUUUUACCCAUGAUCAUGUCACCAAACACCAAAUGCUUGCGAUGCCGCUAGCUAUGAGACGAAAUUAGCUUACACCAUUAAUAUAUCCUUUUUUAGGCCGGAUUUGACUUUUGUGCCUUGUGAUGGGAAUGAUUGGCUUGCGUGCUAAACUGGCUUAGCUAAGCUCUAGGUAGUCCGAAGUCGCUGGAGACUCUGGAGAAAGCUUUUUCGUCUACUCUUACUCCACAAGAAGAAUAUGCACGACCGGGCCAUCACCUGAUCGAUUAUAUGGAUAGUUUAAUCUAUGGAGAAUUCCAUCAAGCCGCGCGACUAUAUAUAUAAUCUUCAAUUAUAUCUGAUUUUGUACAAGGUACUGGUGAACUAUGCACUACUCGAUCGAUUUGCUUGCGUAGGUCAGAUUGAAAAAACAGUGCACAUCAACUCAAUUAUGUAUGUGCAUAGGAUCGAAUGAUUCGCUGGGGAUAUGCCGAUAAACCCUAGGAAGAAGUUAAAGCUAGCUAGCUAGCUACUCCCUCCGUUACGGUUUAGAAGGCACAGUUAAACUUGUGUGCGUUUUUAAAAUAGACAAGGUUUAAACGCGAAAGCAAUUACUCCUAUUAAUUAGUACUAGUACUACUCAUGCAUGCGUCCUCCUAAUUUGUUGCUCACGCAUUAGUACUAGUAUUUUUUCAGUUGAUUAGGCGCAUUAGCAUCUACACCUGCUACAUCUCACAACCAAUCGGUGACUACCUUGGUACCAGAGAUUUUUUCAAACGUGUCUUCUAAACCGUGACGGAGGGAGUAGCAGACAUGGUUUAAGAGUAUACAAAUAAAUCCAGUCUUUUUAUGCAUGCAAGCAUGCAUUAAAGGGCCAGCACUAGCUCUUGUUUUGCACUUUUUUUACGAAUAACUGGCCUCAGCGUAAUUAACAACAUGCAUACAGUCAACACAUCUGAUUUUUAUUAAAACAUCACUUUAAAGGAACCAUAAAUAAGAAGUAGCCUGGGAUAUAUGAGGUCCUAUUCGAGGGUGGGGAAAAACAUUUCUGUAUGCUUCAAUCGAGUGGACACCAUCAUAAAAAGAUACAUAUCUUCCGGCCUCGGACAGACCUAGCUAGUAAGAAGUCAUUGUAUAUUUGUAUACACACAUAAAUAACCUUGAGUAUGGAGGUAGCUACUAGCCAAGUUGAUGAGAUUAUUGUGCAUGUGGUUUCUCUCUUUAGAAAGUGCCUGUGCAUGCAGCUUAACUUCUCCCUCGAAUUAACCUCAUAAGACACUAGCAUAACGUACACAUAAUCAUACUUAUAAGUUAUAAUUAAGCAAACAUAUGCACGCAUGCAUGCCACCAGCAGUACAUACAGUACAAAAUCUAUCUAUCUGAUCCAUUUCGCACGUGCGUGCUUUCAGGGACAGUAACGUUGCACAAGGCGUGACGGCGCCUUCUCUUCCUCCGGCUUAUUAUUACAUGCAUACCAAGGCUGUCCACGUGUACAACACCCGGCCGGCCUGUCAGAGUCUCUCUUACGUGCCGACCAUGGAUGCAUAUAAGCUAUAGCAGGAGCAUCGAUCCUACAGCUAGAUCAUCUUGAGGAGGAGUAGCUUACAUCUGCGUGUACAGCUGGUGCAUGCAACUGGUGGGUCCAUCAUCAUAUGCUGAUGGUUCAGCUAGAUAUACUUUCAUGCAUGCACACGUGUGUGUAGGUGCUCGAGCGGGUCCCGUCUAAUUCUUGUUAUGAAAAGGAUGCAGAGGGAGGGAGGGAGACUAGUCGCCGAUCAUGACAUCCACUCGUGCUAUGCUGGCUACUUCUACCCAUCUCAUACACGGUUUGGCAUGCCAAACACUGCUAGGACUUUUUUCUAUAUAUAUCCUUGCGUACUUAAUCAUAUCUCGAAAAUCGAUGCAUAUAUGGCAUAUAUACAUGCAUGCGCAAAGGAAAGUCUUUUUAGUUUUCAAACGAUAAAUGUCACAAGUGUGACAUGAAAUAACACCGUCCUGACGUUUUAUAAACGAAAAUUGUUAUCAAACAGAAAGUUGGCGUGCUUCACAAUUAAAAUUGGCAUCCUCCGAUAACUAAACUUGUCAUCAAAAAAUGUUGAAAUUGCUUCUUGCCAUACAUGUGACGUUUAUCAUGGUCCUUUAGUUUCAAGAAAAGUCAAAAUUGAUUCUACGUACCAACCGGUCAGCUUGGUUAAUUAGCUACCAACAAAAUUUGCAAUAAAAAUGAUUAUAAGAGGUUUAGAGCUAAAAUUGUAUUUUGGACCUGUGUGUUUAGCGCCUAUUGAAGGCAUAAAUCGAUGGAAUUUGGAUUUAAAAUUUUCGACGCAUUUUCUCACAAUUUGUUGUCUUUUGGUGGCCGGUGCAUGAAUAGUAGCACUGUAAAGUUUGACGGUACAUCAAUAAUAGAUAGACAAUAUUUUGAGUUGGAUAGAUAGGUACUUUCUCAAAGAGCAGUACUAACUAUCUUAGUAGCAAAGUGGCAUCUCUCCUAGUAUUUUCGGAUAAGUGCAUCGAUAUCUCCUAGUAACACACGUACGUACUACUUAGUUAUUACCAGUGUAUUCAUGUAGGCACACGUGGUCAGGUUCGAGUGGACGAUGAGUGGCUAGCGAGCUAAACAAGCUACCCAGCUAGUGCCAAAUAAGAGGGAAGAAAUGCAAUACGUGAUUGAUAGGACGAUGAUACGGACGGAUGGAUGGUGAUCGAUCAUCCCCGUACCCAUCAAAUAUCGUUUUCAGGUUAAAGCAGCAGCUAUUUCCAGAGAUCGAUAGCAAGACACGCAUGCACGUGUCGACAGGCCGGAAAGAUGGAAUCUAUUUUCAUGAUAUAUAUGCAUCAUUUGUUUAUUUAUUUGUGAAAGGGCAAAAUUCCAUAUAUAAAACAUCACAAAUCUUUAUAAAACAAUCUUACAAAAUUUAAAAAUACAUCUAAAUCUUUGGAGGUGCUGAAGUCUUCUUUCUCCUACACAUAUGAUGGCAUGCCUUAUUACCGUCUCUAGGACUUCGUCUCAGCGGAGUAUACUCUUUUUUGUUCGAAUUCAAUGGAGCUAACUUGGUGAAACGCAGGAACGAAACAAGUAUGUGCAUGUAAAAUUGAAACAUAAACACGACCAUUUGUGCUUGGUGCAAGAAGAGCAAAACGGCCAAGCAGCGGUGUGAGCUACAAGUGCGGAAACAAGCAACCAACAUGUUAUUUUUGCACUGCACCAGCAAAUGAUCAAGUUUCAGUUUCAAAAUUUGCAUGCACAUACUUUAUAUUCAUUCUCUACGCAUGCAUGAUUAUUAUGAACUUUUAAAAACUUACAUGAUGUGUUUUUCAGAACCAAAACUCACUAUAGAGAGUCCGACGCACCCAGUACCACAUUAGCACUUUCCAGGUGUAUAUGCUACAUCUGGUACUUCCCCCCGUUUUCUUGGUGUUGGAAACUUCAAACCUGACGAUCCAUCUAGUGGACUUGAUAAUUAAUGGUCAUGGAUAAUACAGUGAAAGCAUUUGUGGUGCCAUUUACUUGACUGCUACAUGCGGUAGCAGCCUCAUGAAGUCAUGAGUCUUGAUCGCCAUGGGUACGUACAGGCCAGCCACAAGAACAUGCAUUUUUGUCUUUCUCGUGACUCGAUCAAUCGAUCAAUCAUGCCCACAUAAUCGAAAUUUCUCUCCUCCGCCAAGUAAAUAAAAUUGUAUGUAUCGAUGGGGUUAACUGAAUUUCACAUAAUUGACCCGACCGAUCGAUCGAGGCAAAAGAGGGAGCGCAAAGUGAGCAACAUCAACAGCACGUGCCACUCGAUAGCUAGGUGCCAAACAGAAAGAAAGAUAGAAAGAAGUAAAACCGGCCAAGCAGGAGUUUUCCCUAUACGUGAAUGUGACCCGUUCAGUGCAUGCAUACAUAUGUAUAUUUAUUCCACUUUUGACCCGACCACAUCAAUCGUAUCUAAUCUCUUGUAGCACAAAGGGAUGACUCGGUUCCAAGUUGUGAUGUUUACUGUGUACCUCAAGUUGUUUGUCUAUUUCAUUGCUCUUCACUCUUAUACGACGCUAAGCACUUGAAUUUUUGAGAGACGUUAAAUUCAGCCAGUGCAACAGGAGCGUGCACCGGAAAUUUUCUUCUCCGCCCACUUCCUACGUUACGUACGCAUAGGUGGUCUUUGGUUGGGUUAUGGAUUUUGUGAAAUAAAUAGGUGGUCUUUUAGCAAACAUCUCAUACAAUAAUUGUAUUUUUGAACAGUUGUAAUUUUUAAUGACAAAACUGAAUAGUGAAACACAACUAGUGGCAUAAUGAUAAAAACCCGUUAAUGUGAGGAGCCAAAGGAAAAAAGAAGAAUGAAGUGGUAUGGGGAUCCUACUGGCAAUAUUUUGUACUACCUAGGACUACUAUUCCAUCAGCCACUCAUCAGAGUUCCUCUCAAAGAAACCAAAGAAAAAUGACUCCGGACAAAGUUGAUUUUUUUCUUUCAAAACAUCAUAUCACUGAAAGAAUAAUUAUGAGACAUCAAAACUUCAAACAUAGGGUUUGAUCCCUGAUGGGUUAUAGAUACCAUCAUUCUCUUAACCUAAUACUUUUUUUAAUGGAGGGAGCAUAUGACAUCCGGACGACUAUUAUUUUUCUGAGUUCUUAUUCGCGCACAAGCACACAAUCGACUCAGAAAAGUAAAUGAACUAGCUAGACGCAUACAUGGUACAUGCCACAUCUGGUGCUUUCGUCCCGCUUUCUUGGAGUGAAAAUUCCAAAGCAGACGAUCGAGUUAGCUAGUGAGCUUGGAUUUUGUGUGAUCGUCUAGUCUUGACUACUGGCAGCCUCUCUUAGUCUUGAUCACUACCUGCAGCCUGUCAAUAAACAUAUGCAUUUUGUUUCUCUCGUGACUCGCUCAGCCAAUCAUAUCCAUAUGAUUAAGGCGACUCUCUUCUUUCCGCGUGAAAACCAAUCGUGUCCAGGGUGUUGAUUAUAGUUGACGGGUUAAAGGAGGAACGUAAACAACAAGAACAACACGUGCUAGAUGCCCCGCUGCCAAUCAGAAAGAAAGAAGUAAAACCGGCCAUCAAAGCAGGAGUUUUCCCAAAGUGACUACUGUUCGGUGCAUGAAUAUAUUAUAUUACUACCUUUUCCCACUUUUGACCCGACCAAUCGUUCUAUCCAAUCCAUCCAAUCUCCUCAAGCACAAAGGGGGCGACGCUAUUCGAGGCUGCAGUAACGCUGUCAAAAUUCGAUUCUUUUACGACGCUAAUUAAGCACUUGAUUAUGGAGAUGCAUUAGUUUGGUCAGAGCAACACGAGAGCUACUGGUGCCCUAACGCACGACGCGGGCAUGCGCCUGAUCAAACUAGCACGGGCACACACAGUUUUCCUCACUUUAAUUUUACCGACCAUCAUGACAAAUAUCUUACUCGAGCAACUUCCUAAGACAAAAGCAAAAGCACACGUUGGAUUGGUAGUUAGCUCAAAUAACUGAUUAAUUAAGCACUUUCUUGUGCUGAAAGGAAAGUGAUGCCCCACAAGCUAUGCAAGAAUGUCAACCGUAGCUAGUGGCUAAUUAGCUGAGUUGCAUGUGUACGGAUAUGCCCUCGUCAGUUAUGAAUUAAUCAAGUGAUGGUGCAUGAAUGGCCUUAAGAGUUGACCAAUUACUCACCAAGUUGUUCUUGCUGCCACAAAGGGAGAACCUUUUUGACGAUUGGGAAAACUGUUUUUAGCUGCUACUCCCUUGCAUUUUAGUUGAUCUUUAAUUUAACUAAGUAAAUAAUAAGUUAUACUCUAGGUCAAAAUUAAAGUAUACCACACACUAGUAGAAAAAGGGCCUUUAGCCCCGGUUCGGUUGGGUCAUUAGUCCCGAUUCACGAACCGGGACUAAUGCUAGCCCCGGUUCGGCCCCGAACCGGGGCUAAUGUCCUUCCACGUGGCGGGGCUAGGAGCGAGGGGGGAGGGGUAUUAGUCCCGGUUCAUAUUACGAACCGGGGUUAUUUCAUCGCAGUUUUUUGAGCAAUUUUUGGGUUUAGGGUUUUGCACUAAAUUGGAUGGGCUAUUUUGCUGCCCCCUAUUUUCUCAUUUAUUUGUUACAUAUAUAUUGCACAACUCACGAAUAUAUUACACCAUCUCAUCCGUCGUGCUUUGUCGAACAUAUUUACAAAAUGUAGACAUGAGUUACAUGCACAUAUAUGCAUCUUUUUUACACUAUAUGAUUUCAUAUCAUUUCCGUCGAAUGGCAAUAGUAUUCUAAUCGAUCAUCUAACAACUCAUCAUCAUCUUAAUCAUAUGCCAAGUUAUCAUAUGAUACACAUAAAAUAAAACAGAGAAACAUCAUAAUAGUCAUCAUAUGCAUGCAUCCUAAUCGAUCAUCUCAAGUAAUAAUAUAAACCAGAAUAACUUGUCUCUCAUAAGACCUACUCCUCGCUCUUAGGUAUAAUGUCAUAAAACAGAAUAAUACCUAUGUUUCCAUGAUGAAUCACAGAGAUCCAACGGUCUCCAACUUGUGGCUCGCGAACCUUCUUUAUUUCUCUCCAUGCUUCAAUUUGAAGCCUUUUUUAUCUUGAUUUGAGGUUACUCGAGUAUGGAGCAUCGAACUCAGCCCUCAACGGGCUUCUAAUUUUCAUUUGACCUUCUGGGAGCAUCAUCAGAGGCACUACAUCAUUUGGCAGUUGCUGCUGAAGAACAUAAUAAUAACCUAGUUAGCAAUGUAAUCAACACUAUUUAUGCAAUAGUACAGCGUACUUAAUUAGAAAACUCUUACCAAGAUAUUUCGACGAAUGUCAUCCGGCCUCAACCUAUGCACUAGUGGCAUGUAAAAUGUAUAAUUUUGACCAAUUCCAAAAUUAUACGGGAAGGUAUCCCUAGAAACCAGAACACUAGCAACAAGAAAGUGGAGAAGAACAUCCUUCUCCUCCUAAGUUAGAUGUGAUCCAUAUGUGUAGUGUGUCGUGUCAAUUAAUUUCCGUAAUUCAGUCGAAGCAAUGCAAUAAGCUGUAAAUUAUAAACCGAUGGCCCUAAAAUCUAAAUGGCAAUAGCCUUGGGGUGCCUAGAGCGGGAGGGGAGGGGGCGGCAGCGCCUGGAGGGGAAGGGCUUACCGGACCGGGAUGGGGAGGGGGCUGAUAUUUGUUGUGUAUCCCCGGCAACGGCGCCAGAAAUGCUUCUGAUGUUCGUUGUGCUACUGCACAAAAGACCUUCUGGUGACGCUAGAAAUGGGCACGUUCACGGCACUAGGAAUUCUUCUGCGUUGGUGUUCCCUUGAAGCGGAAAGGGUGAUGUAGCACAGCGACGGUAAGUAUUUCCCUCAAUUUGAGAACCAAGGUAUCAAUCCGGCGGAAGAGUAUCUCAAGAUCCUGUACAAACACAAAAGCUUGCACCCAACGCUAUGAAGGGGUUGUCAAUCCCUUAUAGAUUGUUUGCCAAGUAAGAACUGAAAGCAACAAAGUAACAAAGCACAGUAAAAGAGAGUUGAAACGAUGGAUGUGAAUAGACCCGGGGGCCGUAGUGUUUACUAGUGCCUUCUCUCAUGAAAGCAAGUAGACGGAGGGUGAACAAAUUACUGUCGAGCAAUUGAUAGAACUGUGCAGAAUCGUGAUGAUAUCUAUGCAAUGAUUAUUUCUAUAGGCAUCACAUCCGAAACAAGUAGACCGAUACUUUCUGCAUCUACUACUAUUACUCCACACGUCGACCGCUAUCCAGCACGCAUCUAGUGUAUUAAGUCCAUAAGAACAGAGUAACGCCUUAAGCAAGAUGACAUGAUGUAGAGGGAUAAUCUCAAACCAAUGAUAAAAACCCCAUCUUUUUACCCUUGAUGGCAACUCCUUGAUGUGUGCCUUGCUACCCCUACUGUCACUGGGAAAGGUCACCACAUGGCAGAACCCAAAACCAAGCACUUCUCCCAUUGCAAGAAUCAUAGAUCUAGUUGGCCAAACAAAAACCGAAGACUCAGAGAGACUUACAAGGAUAUCAAAUCAUGCAUAUAAGAAAUCAGCAAAGACUCAAAUAUAUAUCAUAGAUAAUCUGAUCACAAGUCCACAAUUCAUCGGAUCUCGAUAAACACACCGCCAAAGAAGAUUACAUCGGAUAGAUCUCCAUGAAGAUCAUGGAGAACUUUGUAUUGAAGAUCCAAGAGAGAGAGGAAGCCAUCUAGCUACUAACUACGGACCCGUAGGUCUGAAUUGAACUACUCACGAGUCAUUGGGGGGCGAUGAUGAUGAUGAAGAAGCCCUCCAACUCCAAAGUCCCCUCCGGCAGGGUGCCGGGAAGGGUCUCCAGAUGAGAUCUCGCGGAAACGGAAGCUUGCGGCGUCGAAAAAGUAUUUUCGAGGCUCCCCUAAUUUUUUUGCGGAAUAUUUGGGAAUUUAUAGGUCAAAGAUCUAGGUCAUGGGCGGCCAGGGAGGCCACAAGCCUGCCCACCGCCGCCUCCCCCUAGUGGCGGAGUGGGGGCUUGUGGGCUCCCUCGAGUCCACCUGGCUUGGCCCAAAAGCCCCAUGGACUUCUUCCGUUCGGGAAAAAAUUAUUUCGGGGUUUUUCUUCCGUUUGGACUCCGUUCCAAAAUCAGAUCUGAAAAGAGUCAAAAACACGGGAAAAACAGGAACUCGCACUUGGCACUGAAUUAAUAAGUUAGUCCCAAAAAGAUAUAAAAAGGUACAUAAAACAUACAAAGAAGGAAAGAUAACAGCGUGAAAUCAUCAAAAAUUAUAGAUACAUUUGAGACGUAUCAAGCAUCCCCAAGCUUAACUCCUGCUCGUCCUCGAGUAGGGAAGUGAUAAGAAUGAAUUUUUGAUGCUUUCAUGCUACCUAGCAUAGGUGUCCUUUGUAAUUCCUCUUAUGUGACGUGAAUGUUCAGAUCCAUUAGAUUCAAAACAAUAGUUUGCUAUUGACGUGGAAACAAUAAUAAUUCAAGCAAACUAGCAAAGUAAUCAUGAACUUUCAAAAUAACAAGGCCGAAAGAAAGUUAUCCCUACAAAAGCAUAUAGUCUAGCUAUGCUCUAUCAUCAUUGCACAACGAAUUUAAAUCAUGCACAACCCCGGUGUUGGCCAAGUAAUUGUUUCACACCUUUACUUUCUCAAACAUUCUCAACUCUCACGUAAUACAUGAGUGUGAGCCAUGGUUAUAGCACUAUAGAUGGUGUGAAAUGUGGUGGAGGUUGCAAGACAAAAAGGAGAAGAUAGUCACAUUAACUAGGCAUAUCAAUGAGCUGUGGAGAUGCUCAUCAAUAGAUAUCAAUGUGAAUGAGUAGGGAUUGCCAUACAAAUGAUGCACUAGAGCUACAAGUAUGUGAAAGCUCUUAAAGAAAACUAGUGGGUGUGCAUCCAACUUGCUUGCUCACGAAGACCUAAGGCAAUUUUGAGGAAGCUUAUCAUUGAAAUAUACAAGCCAAGUUAUAUAAUGAGAAUUUCCCACUAGCUAUAUGAUGGUGAAAAAACGAGAGACUCUCAAUCAUGAAGAUUAUGGUGCGCAAUAUGCACAAGUGUGGAAAAAGUGGUAGCAUUGUCCCUUCUCUCUUUUUCUCUCAAUUUUUUUUUAUUUUGGUGGGCUCUUUGGCCUCUUUUUUAUGGGCUUCUUUGGCCUCUUUUAUUUCCUCACAUGGGACAAUGCUCCAAUAAUGAUGAUCAUCACACUUUCAACUCAAAACUUAGAGCAAUUAUGACUCUAUAUGGAAUGCCUUCGGUAGUGUACCGUGGCAAUGAUCUAGCAUGGCAUAGACAUCAAUGGAAACAUCAUGCUAGCUAUCUUACGAUCGUGCAAACGCAAUGUAUACGUGGUGGCACAUGUCAUGGUGCUAGUUGCAUGGCAAUAUAUCUUGGAAUGACUUUGCAAAAGCCAUAGUAGGUAGGUAUGGUGGCUGUUUUGAGGGAGGCUAAUGGUGGGUUUUGUGCACUGGCGAAAGUUGCGCGGCACUAAGAAGAUAGUGAUGGUGGAAGGUGAAAGUGCAUCUAAACCAUGGACUCAUCAUUAGUCAUGAAGAACUCAUAUACUUGUUGCAAAAGUUUUAUUAGUAAUCGAAACAAGGCAUUCAACGCAUACUCCUAGGGGAAGGGUUGGUAGGUAUAAUACCAUCGCGCGAUCCCGACCGCCACGCAAAGGAUGACAAUCAAAAGACUAAUCAUGCUCAGACUUCAUCACAUAGCGGUUCACCAUACGUGCAUGCUACGGGAAUCACUAACUUCAACACAAUUAUUUCUAGAUCCACAACACCUUACUAGCAUGACUUCAAUAUUACCAAAACCACAACUCAAAACUAAUUGAGAUGAAUCAAACUUCUCUAACUAUUCAAUGCACAUGAAGGUGGAAGUUUUCGUAUCCCUUUGGAUAUCUACCCCUUUUGAGACUACUUUCAAAGCAUAGAUCAACUACCAAGACACGCACCUCUGCGCUCUAAAAGAUAUAAGUGAAGCACAUAGAGCAAAAGUAUCUAGCUCAAAAGAUAUAAGUGAAGCACAUGUGAGCUGAAUUGUCUACCAAAAGAUAUAAGUGAAGCUCGACAAAAUCACGGUGAGUGCAUGUCUCUCUCUCUAGGUGUGCAGCAAGGAUGAUUGUGACACAACAAAAAUAAAAGACUCCUACGAUACAAGACUCCCCAAGCAAAAACACAUAACAUGUGGUGAAUAAAAAUAUAGCCCCAAGUAACGUUACCGAUGGAUUGAAGACGAGAGAGGGGAUGCCUUCCCGGGGCAUCCCCAAGCUUAGGCUUUUACGUCAUCCUUGAAUCUCUUGGGGUGCCUUGGGCAUCCCCAAGCUUGAGAUCUUGCCACUCUUUAUCUCUUUGUCCAUAAGAACUUCACCCAAAACUUGAAAACUUCACAACACGAAACUUAAACAGAAACUCGUGAUAACAUUAGUACAAAAAAGCAAACCACCACUUCCUUAGGUACUGUAGCAAACUUAACUUCUACUUGUGCUGAUGUUGGGUUACUGUACUUUCAAUUUUCCAUGGCUAAUAUCCCCCGAUACUAUCCAUAGUUUCAUCAAAAUAAGCAACCAACACAACAAAAACAGAAUCUGUUAACAGCAGACCAGUCUGUAGAAAUCUGUAUGUUUCAUAUAGCUCUGGUACUUCCAAAAUUCUGAAAACUUAAGACAGUCUGAAGAAUUUGCGUAGAAAUCAGCAGAAAAAAGAAUCAACUCAAAAGCUCUUACAUAAAAAAAAUAUAAAUUCUUUUCGUGAGCAGAAAGUUUCUGUCUUUUCCAGCACGACCAAACGAUCAUCCUCAAGACUAAUCAUAACGGUUUUGCUUGGCACAAACGCAAAAAGAAACACAAAAAACAUAUUCAUAACAUAAUCAUGAAAGUGUGGAAAACACAAAACAGAAAGAAAAAAGGAUAGAUUCGUUGGGUUGCCUCCCAACAAGCGCUUUUGUUUAACGCCCUUAGCUAGGCGAAAGUGAUGGAAUCACGUAUAGUCAUCUUUGGUACUCAAACCAUAAGUAGCCCUCAUCAUAGAUUCACAAGGCAAUCUUAUUUUCUUUCUAGGAAUGUGCUCCAUGCCCUUCUUUAAGGGAAAUUGAAAUCUAAUAUUCCCUUCCUUCAUAUCGAUGAUAGCACCAAUAGUCCUUAGGAAAGGUCUACCAAGAAUAAUGGGACAUGAAGGAUUGCAAUCUAUGUCAAGUACAAAGAAAUACACGGAUACAUAGUUCUUAUUUGCAACAAUAAGAACAUCAUCGAUCCUCCCCAUGGGCUUCUUGUUGGUAGAAUCCGCAAGAUGCAAAUUAAGAGAACACUCUUCAAUCUCAUGGAAACCAAGAAUAUCACAUAAAGACUUUGGAAUCGCGGAAACACUAGCACCCAAAUCACACAAAGCAUUGCACUCAUAGUUUUUUAUCUUGAUUUUGAUAGUAGGUUCCCACUCAUUUUGAAGUUUUCUAGGUAUAGAGACUUCUAGUUCGAGCUUCUCUUCAAGAGAUUUCAUCAUAGCAUCUACGAUAGAAAUGCAUUCAAACAAGGAGCAAUUAUCAUAAUUGAAUUCCUUGAAAUCCAAAGUGGGAGUUUCAUUACUACCCAAAAUUUUGACUUCUUCUACUCCACUCUCCACACCUUUAUCAUCAAGAUAGGUGGACUCCGAAUCAUCGGGGCGUUUUUCAACCAAAGUGGAUUCAUAUCCAGCCCCUCCAUAAGUAGGUUUGACAUGCGAAAACAAAGAUUCAAGAGGAGACAUACCAACCACUUUAAGAUCUUCGUGAUUUGCAUCACUAGAAUGCACCCUUUUAAACAUUCAUGUCUAGCGUGAAUUUGGACGGUUCUUUCUUUGCUCUCAUUCAUGGAGAUACGCAUAGCUUUAAAAGUUUUAUCCAAGUUGAUCUUGGGAGGAGCGCAUCUAACUUUCAAAGAAUCAAUAUCACAAGACAUCCUAUCAACGCACUUAGCCAAAUCGUCUAUUUUGAGUAGUUUUUCCUCUAUGGACGCAUUGAAAAUCUUUUGAGAGUUGAUGAACUCUUUGAUAUUACUCUCUAGAUCAGAGGGUAAUUUUUUAUGAUUUCCAUAAGUGUUGCCGUAGGAAUUGCCAUAAUUGUUAGAGGAGUUACUAGGAAAAGGCCUAGGAACAUAGUUUCCUCUAAAAGCAUUAUUGUUGCCAAAAUUGUUCCUACCAACAAAAUUCAUGUCCAAACUAGCAUUGCUACUCUCAAUCAAAGAAGAUAGUGGCAUGUCAUUAGGAUCUACGGUAGUAUUUCUACUAGCAACCAAAUUCAUCAACUCGUCCAUCUUAGCACUAAGCGAGUUAAUCUCUUCUAUAGCGUGCACCUUUUUGCUAGCAGACGACCUUUCAGUGUGCCACUGAGAGUAGUUGGUCAUGAUAUUGUCUAGGAGUUUUGUAGCGUCUCCUAACGUGAUUUACAUGAAUGUUCCACCUGAGGCGGAGUCCAAGAUAUUGCGAGAAGCGAAAUUCAAGCCAGCGUAAAAGAUUUGUAUAAUCAUCCACAAACUCAAGCCAUGAGCAGGACAAUUUCUAAUCAUAAGCUUCAUCCUCUCCCAAGAUUGUGCAACGUGUUCAUGAUCAAGUUGCUUGAAAUUCAUGAUAUCGUUAUGUAAGGAGAUGAACUUAGCCGGCGGAAAAUACUUAGAUAUGUAAGUAUCUUUGUGUUGGGUAACGUCGCAUGGGAAACAAAAAUUUUCCUACGCGCACGCCUAUCAUGGUGAUGUCCAUCUACGAGAGGGGAUGUGUGAUCUACGUACCCUUGUAGACCGUACAGCAGAAGCGUUAGUGAACGCGGUUGAUGUAGUGGAACGUCCUCACGUCCCUUGAUCCGCCCCGCGAACCGUCCCGCGAUCAGUCCCACGAUCUAAUGUCGAACGGACGGCACCUCCGCGUUCAGCACACGUACAACUCGACGAUGAUCUCGGCCUUCUUGAUCCAGCAAGAGAGACGGAGAGGUAGAAGAGUUCUCCGGCAGCAUGACGGCGCUCCGGAGGUUGGUGAUGAUAUCGUCUCGGCAGGGCUCCACCCGAGCUCCGCAGAAACGCGACCUAGAGGUAAAACCGUGGAGAUAUGUGGUCGGGCUACCGUGGCAAAGUUGUCUCAAAUCAGCCCUAAAACCUCCGUAUAUAUAGGGGGAGGAGGGGGAGCCUUGCCUUGGGGUCCAAGGACUCCCAAGGGGGUCGGCCGAGCCUAAGGGGGGAACCCUCCCCUUCCAAACCGAGUCCAACUAGGUUUGGAAGGAGGAGUCCUUCCCCCUUUCCCACCUCCUCUUUUUUUUCUCUUUGAUUUUCUUCCUAUGGCGCAUAGGGCCUUCUUGGGCUGUCCCACCAGCCCACUAAGGGCUGGUGCGCCACCCCCAAGGCCUAUGGGCUUCCCCGGGGUGGGUUGCCCCCCCCGGUGAACUCCCGGAACCCAUUCGUCAUUCCCCGUACAUUCCCGGUAACUCCGAAAACCUUACGGUAAUCAAAUGAGGUCAUCCUAUAUAUCAAUCUUCGUUUCCGGACCAUUCCAAAAACCCUCGUGACGUCCGUGAUCUCAUCCGGGACUCCGAACAACAUUCGGUAACCAACCAUAUAACUCAAAUACGCAUAAAACAACGUCGAACCUUAAGUGUGCAGACCCUGCGGGUUCGAGAACUAUGUAGACAUGACCCGAGAGACUCCUCGGUCAAUAUCCAAUAGCGGGACCUGGAUGCCCAUAUUGGAUCCUACAUAUUCUACGAAGAUCUUAUCGUUUGAACCUCAGUGCCAAGGAUUCAUAUAAUCCCGUAUGUCAUUCCCUUUGUCCUUCGGUAUGUUACUUGCCCGAGAUUCGAUCGUCAGUAUCCGUAUACCUAUUUCAAUCUCGUUUACCCGCAAGUCCCUUUACUCAUUCCGUAAUACAAGAUCCCGCAACUUACAUUAAGUCACAUUGCUUGCAAGGCUUGUGUGUGAUGUUGUAUUACCGAGUGGGCCCCGAGAUACCUCUCCGUCACACGGAGUGACAAAUCCCAGUCUCAAUCCAUACUAACUCAACGAACACCUUCGGAGAUACCUGUAGAGCAUCUUUAUAGUCACCCAGUUAUGUUGCGACGUUUGAUACACACAAAGUAUUCCUCCGGUGUCAGUGAGUUAUAUGAUCUCAUGGUCAUAGGAACAAAUACUUGACACGCAGAAAACAGUAGCAACAAAAUGACACGAUCAACAUGCUACGUCUAUUAGUUUGGGUCUAGUCCAUCACGUGUUUCUCCUAAUGACGUGAUCCAGUUAUCAAGCAACAACACCUUGUUCAUAAUCAGAAGACACUGACUAUCUUUGAUCAACUGGCUAGCCAACUAGAGGCUUGCUAGGGACAGUGUUUUGUCUAUGUAUCCACACAUGUAUUUAUGUCUUCAUUCAAUACAAUUAUAGCAUGGAUAAUAAACGAUUAUCUUGAUAUAGGAAUUAUAAUAAUAACUAUAUUUAUUAUUGCAUCUAGGGCAUAAUUCCAACACUUUGCACCUAUCCCAAGAAUCGAUACUAUUUUUAGGCAAAGAAGAAAACCAAGUUUUUGCGCGAUCUCGCAACGAGAAAGGAAAAAGUUUUAACUUAAUCACGUCAUUAUCCACAUCUCUUUUCUUUUGCAUAUCACAAAGCUCAAUGAAGGUAUUGAGAUGGGAUGCGACAUCUUCACUAGGAAGGCCAGAGAAUUGCUCUUUCAUAACAAGAUUCAGCAAAGCUGUGUUGAUUUCAUACGAUGCCACACUAGUGGCGGGAGCAAUCGGAGUACUAAUAAAAUCAUUAUUAUUAGUGCUCGAGAAGUCACAAAGUUUGGUAUUUUCAGACAUGAUGUCUUCAACAAACAAACAAGCACACAAGCAAGCAAGAAACCGGAAAAGGAAAACGGCAAGGGCAAGAGAAAACGGCGAAGGAGAAAGGCGAAUGAAAACAACAAAUGUGAAGUGGGGGAGAGGAAAACGAGAGGCAACUCGCAACAAAAGUAAAUGCAAGAGAAGAGUUUGUGAGACCUACUUGGAUAGAUCUUGAUUUCUCCUCCCCGGCAACGGCGCUAGAAAUACUUCUUGAUGUUUGCUGUGUAUCCCCGGCAACGGCGCCAGAAAUGCUUCUGAACUCCAUUGUGCUACUGCACAAAAGACCUUCUGGUGGCGCCAGAAAUGGGCACGUUCACGGCACUAGGAAUUCUUUUGCGUUGGUGUUCCCUCGAAGCGGAAAGGGUGAUGUAGCACAGCGACGGUAAGUAUUUCCCCCAGUUUGAGAACCAAGGUAUCAAUCCGGCGGAAGAGUAUCUCAAGAUCCUGCACAAACACAAAAGCUUGCACCCAGCGCUAUGAAGGGGUUGUCAAUCCCUUAUAGAUUGUUUGCCAAGUGAGAACUGAAAGCAACAAAGUAACACAACAAAGUAAAAGUGGGGUUGUAAACGAUGGAUGUGAAUAGACCCGGGGGCAUAGUAUUUACUAGUGGCUUCUCUCAUGAAAGCAAGUAGACGGAGGGUGAACAAAUUACUGUCGAGCAAUUGAUAAAACUGUGCAGAGUCGUGACGAUAUCUAUGCAAUGAUUAUUUCUAUAGGCAUCACGUCCGAAACAAGUAGACCGAUACUUUCUGCAUCUACUACUAUUACUCCACACGUCGACCGCUAUCCAGCAUGCAUAGUGUAUUAAGUCCAUAAGAACAGAGUAACGCCUUAAGCAAGAUGACAUGAUGUAGAGGGAUAAUCUCAAACCAAUGAUAAAAACCCCAUCUUUUUACCCUUGAUGGCAACUCCUUGAUGUGUGCCUUGCUACCCCUACUGUCACUGGGAAAGGUCACCACAUGGCAGAACCCAAAACCAAGCACUUCUCCCAUUGCAAGAAUCAUAGAUCUAGUUAGCCAAACAAAACCCAAGACUCGGAGAGACUUACAAGGAUAUCAAAUCAGGCAUAUAAGAAAUCAACAAAGACUCAAAUAUAUAUCAUAGAUAAUCUGAUCACAAGUCCACAAUUCAUCGGAUCUCGACAAACACACCGCCAAAGAAUAUUACAUCGGAUAGAUCUCCAUGAAGAUCAUGGAGAACUAUGUAUUGAAGAUCCAAGAGAGAGAGGAAGCUAUCUAGAUACUAACUACAGACCCGUAGGUCUGAAGUGAACUACUCACAAGUCAUUGGAGGGGCGAUGAUGAUGAUGAUGAAGCCCUCCAACUCCAAAGUCCUCUCCGGAGGGUGCCGGGAAGGGUCUCCAGAUGAGAUCUCGCGAAAACGGAAGCUUGCGGCGACGGAAAAAGUAUUUUCGAGGCUCCCCUGAUUUUUUGCGGAAUAUUUGGGAAUUUAUAGGCCAAAGAUCUAGGUCAGGGGCGGCCAGGGAGGCCACAAGCCUGCCCACGGCCGCCUCCCCCCUGGUGGCGGAGUGGGCGCUUGUGGGCUCCCUGGAGCCCACCUGGCUUGGCCCAAAAGCCCCCUGGACUUCUUCCGUUUGGGAUAAAAUCAUUUUGGGGUUUUUCUUCCGUUUGGACUCUGUUCCAAAAUCAGAUCUGAAAAGAGUCAAAAACAUGGAAAAAAUAGUAACUGGCACUUGGCACUGAAUUAAUAAGUUAGUCCCAAAAAGAUAUAAAAAGGUAUAUAAAACAUACAAAGAAGGCAAGACAACAGCGUGAAAUCAUCAAAAAUUAUAGAUACGUUUGAGAUGUAUCAGGGGCCGGCCGGCUUACCGGAGCGGGAGAGGGGAAGGGGGCUUACCGCAGGAGGGGAGGGGGGCGGCGGCGACGACGACGACGACGGCGAGGGAGGCGGCGACGACGACGACAACGGCGAGGGAGGCGGCGGCGGGG
This 32923-nucleotide long non-coding RNA is filed under the name Hordeum vulgare. RNAcentral's name for it is "long non-coding RNA (HVUL_LNC006383)". The stretch from base 8178 to 8310 matches the Rfam family "MIR1120/MIR1122 microRNA precursor family". The record is from RNAcentral. Lineage: Eukaryota; Viridiplantae; Streptophyta; Magnoliopsida; Poales; Poaceae.